AUUGAGGAAUUUUCGGCUCGCUGAAGAGCACUGAAAC
Non-coding RNA from Roseiflexus sp. RS-1, 37 nucleotides. Lineage: Bacteria; Bacillati; Chloroflexota; Chloroflexia; Chloroflexales; Roseiflexaceae. The record is from Rfam.